GGCACUUGCAACUUUAUUGCGCCAGCAAGAACAUGCAUACAGCCCAGUCUAACGUACAGGAUCAAAAAGAGACCUUAUUUCGGCUGGCAAUUACCUUACCCGCUUGUUCAUUAUCUGACUCCUGCACUCCUCCCAAGUGUUCAAUGUUAACCAGAUGGCAAAGUUAACCAGACAGAGGAAAUCCACAUAAUUACUCUAGAUGAAGCCCCCUAACUGCGGAUUAGAAGGAAAAGAGAUGAAGGGUGCUGCACUAAUAAUAACAACCAUUUUCAACCAAGGCAGGAUUCUGGGCCUAGAAUCUUCAGUGACAAAUUACCAGGAGAGGAGGAGGGAAAUGAAGAGCUGGAGGCCUAGGGAGAUGGUGUGAGGAGAGGAGACUGUGCCUUUCCACUUCUUAAUAAUUAAUGUUCUCCUGCUGCUCUGAGUCUGCAUCACCAGUGAUUCAGUUUGAGUCAGACAUCCAACAACAACUGAGCAAAAGAAUCAUCUCAGAUCCAAGCAAUGGUGACGCGCAGAUAGAAGAGACUGAGGCCAACGACCAAAGCAAAGGACAGCAGAACUGACUGACACAGCUCAGAAAAUAUCCAAAGCUCUGUAUGCUCUGGAAAGGAAGACAAGAAAUGCUAAAGACUCUGGAUAUUGCUCUGUUUCUAUAAGGUCCCACCCAUAUACCAUCUCUUCUUUUGGAUUUCCUUUGGCAGGGUUCCCUUGUAUGGAAGUUCUCAGGAGAACAACACUCUCAGAGUCCCACUGUCUCAAAGAAUUCUUAAUGGACAGCUAUACUUGGCCCCAAGGUUUCAACCUCACACUGAAGAAAGUGACAUAAGAAAACACAAGUCCCAGUGCUAUCAGGGGCUAUCUGGAAAAGCUGCUUAAACAGCAAGUGAAAGAAGGCUCUCCCCUACCCCGUUCUAGAUGACAGGUCCUAUGUAAGAUACACAUACCACAUGCUGUCAACCCAUCUGAGACACUCAGCUUUCAAAUGACAGUUCUUCUCUGAAGCUAACCUAGCCAAAAGAGUGAAAUACACUAUCUGUUAAGCUGUGUCAGUAGCUAAGUCUGUGUGUCUAAAUUAAAAACAUACUCACCCUGAAGUUAUUUGAAGGAUCCUUGAGACUCUUUUGGAUUGCUGCUUGGAGAACAUUCCUGUAACUUGUCCCUGCUCCUUGAACUAUAAAAGCAGAAGGGAGGUACUGAGUUAAAACUUACAAAUUAUUAUCAAAUAAAUCUUCAAUAGUGGUUCAGUCCAA
RNAcentral lists this long non-coding RNA (1250 nucleotides) under Homo sapiens (human). RNAcentral's name for it is "PREDICTED lncRNA (TCONS_00163775)". Lineage: Eukaryota; Metazoa; Chordata; Mammalia; Primates; Hominidae. The record is from RNAcentral.